RNAcentral lists this unclassified non-coding RNA (230 nucleotides) under Hevea brasiliensis (rubber tree). Lineage: Eukaryota; Viridiplantae; Streptophyta; Magnoliopsida; Malpighiales; Euphorbiaceae. The record is from RNAcentral.
UUCCUGAAAUACACAGUGAGUUGGAAAAAAUUCAAUUUUGUAGUUGAGAGUUUUUGUGAUAGAACUGACAGACCAAAGGUUCAUAGGAAGGCUAGGCACAUGUAUGACAGAACUAAGACUUAUAGUAAGAGUGCAUUUAACAGAACCUGUUCUAGAAACAUUAGAUAAGGAUCUAUCCGCAAUGCAGACUUGUCCUUUGCCUGAAUAUGGAGAAUAGAAUAUGAAUUUAU